UACGUAGGUGGCAAGCGUUGUCCGGAAUUCUUGGGCGUAAAGCGCGCGCAGGCGGUCCUUUAAGUCUGAUGUGAAAGCCCACGGCUCAACCGUGGAGGGUCAUUGGAAACUGGGGGACUUGAGUACAGAAGAGAAGAGUGGAAUUCCACGUGUAGCGGUGAAAUGCGUAGAGAUGUGGAGGAACACCAGUGGCGAAGGCGACUCUUUGGUCUGUAACUGACGCUGAGGCGCGAAAGCGUGGGGAGCAAACAGG
Molecule: ribosomal RNA, 253 nt
Filed under: uncultured bacterium
Lineage: Bacteria
Description: partial 16S ribosomal RNA
Rfam family: Bacterial small subunit ribosomal RNA
Source: RNAcentral